AGUGAACGCUGGCGGUAGGCCUAACACAUGCAAGUCGAACGGCAGCACAGUAAGAGCUUGCUCUUACGGGUGGCGAGUGGCGGACGGGUGAGGAAUACAUCGGAAUCUACUUUUUCGUGGGGGAUAACGUAGGGAAACUUACGCUAAUACCGCAUACGACCUACGGGUGAAAGCAGGGGAUCUUCGGACCUUGCGCGAUUGAAUGAGCCGAUGUCGGAUUAGCUAGUUGGCGGGGUAAAGGCCCACCAAGGCGACGAUCCGUAGCUGGUCUGAGAGGGUGAUCAGCCACACUGGAACUGAGACACGGUCCAGACUCCUACGGGAGGCAGCAGUGGGGAAUAUUGGACAAUGGGCGCAAGCCUGAUCCUGCCAUACCGCGUGGGUGAAGAAGGCCUUCGGGUUGGAAAGCCCUUUUGUUUGGAAAGAAAAGCAGCAGGUUAAUACCCCGCUGUUCUGACGGUACCCAAAGAAUAAGCACCGGCUAACUUCGUG
RNAcentral lists this ribosomal RNA (492 nucleotides) under uncultured bacterium. Its description in RNAcentral is "partial 16S ribosomal RNA". It matches the Rfam family "Bacterial small subunit ribosomal RNA", at positions 29 to 507 of the family's 1533-position model. The record is from RNAcentral.